AUGCUACCUACUCUAGAAGCACAUAUACUAAAACUGGAAUACAGAGAAGAUUAGCAUGGUCCAUGCACAAGGAAGACACACAAAUUCAAAAAACAAAAAGGUGGGCU
This is a small nuclear RNA of Octodon degus (degu), 107 nucleotides long. The record is from Ensembl. NCBI's taxonomy places the organism in Eukaryota, Metazoa, Chordata, Mammalia, Rodentia, Octodontidae.